RNAcentral lists this ribosomal RNA (378 nucleotides) under Triticum aestivum (bread wheat). RNAcentral's name for it is "partial small subunit ribosomal RNA". Lineage: Eukaryota; Viridiplantae; Streptophyta; Magnoliopsida; Poales; Poaceae. The record is from RNAcentral.
AUGAGGAAAAAUUUAUUGGAAUUUAUGAUUACAACGUAUGACAGAACUGGAAAGCGAUUUAUUAUUCGGCCAAAUACUGAUGGCAUCAGUGUGCUUAAUGAAGAUGUUUACGACAUAUUCGGGCUACGUAACGAGGGUGAUGAUGUCAGUAGCAUGAUAGCAACAGUACAACUAGAUGCAAAAAAAUGUUCAUAUGAUGAUGAUUUUGUUAGAAGGGCCGUACUGGUUCUUAUGGGUACAGUCUUAGCACCACAAUCCAUCAAGUUUGUUCCUUAUCGUUAUUACAAAAUGGUGGAGGACGUGAAUGCUAUCAAGUCAUACAAUUGGAACGAUUUCACGUUGCGGGUGUGCAUGGAUGCUAUUAAAAAAUCGGUCUAA